RNAcentral lists this ribosomal RNA (433 nucleotides) under uncultured bacterium. RNAcentral describes it as "partial 16S ribosomal RNA". It matches the Rfam family "Bacterial small subunit ribosomal RNA", at positions 29 to 507 of the family's 1533-position model. The record is from RNAcentral.
AGCGAACGCUGGCGGCAGGCCUAACACAUGCAAGUCGAACGAACUCUUCGGAGUUAGUGGCGGACGGGUGAGUAACACGUGGGAACGUGCCUUUAGGUUCGGAAUAACUCAGGGAAACUUGUGCUAAUACCGAAUGUGCCCUUCGGGGGAAAGAUUUAUCGCCUUUAGAGCGGCCCGCGUCUGAUUAGCCAGUUGGUGAGGUAAAGGCUCACCAAGGCGACGAUCAGUAGCUGGUCUGAGAGGAUGAUCAGCCACAUUGGGACUGAGACACGGCCCAAAAUCCUACGGGAGGCAGCAGAGGGGAAUCUUGCGAAAUGGGGGAAAGGCAGAAGCAGCCAGGCCGCGUGAAUGAUGAAGGUCUGAGGAUUGUAAAAUUCUUUCACCGGGGACGAUAAUGACGGUACCCGGAGAAGAAGCCCCGGCUAACUUCGUG